RNAcentral lists this unclassified non-coding RNA (357 nucleotides) under uncultured fungus. RNAcentral's name for it is "sequence contains ITS1". The stretch from base 1 to 105 matches the Rfam family "5.8S ribosomal RNA", at positions 50 to 154 of the family's 154-position model. Lineage: Eukaryota; Fungi. The record is from RNAcentral.
GAAAUGCGAAAAGUAAUGCGAAUUGCAGAAUUCAGCGAGUCAUCGAAUCUUUGAACGCACAUUGCGCCCGCUGGUAUUCCGGCGGGCAUGCCUGUCCGAGCGUCUUCACACAUCCUCGAGCGACUCUCUUUUGGUCCUCGGCCAUUGAGGGAAGUGCUCGGUCAUUGGACCCUUGUCCCCGAACGCGCUUGCGUCGCGGGAGGUCUCGAAAUGCAUCGCCGGAGAACGUUUGCAGCGAUUGAGCCGGUCGUGCCAGAGUUGUGCGAUCGGGUGCUCCUUCGCCUGAUGUUCUCCUGGAAAUUCAGGAGUCAACGCUUCUUCGACCUCGGAUCAGGUAGGGUUACCCGCUGAACUUAA